RNAcentral lists this ribosomal RNA (484 nucleotides) under uncultured bacterium. Its description in RNAcentral is "partial 16S ribosomal RNA". It matches the Rfam family "Bacterial small subunit ribosomal RNA", at positions 31 to 507 of the family's 1533-position model. The record is from RNAcentral.
AGGGAACGCUGGCGGCAGGCCUAACACAUGCAAGUCGAGCGGAUGAAGGGAGCUUGCUCCUGGAUUCAGCGGCGGACGGGUGAGUAAUGCCUAGGAAUCUGCCUGGUAGUGGGGGAUAACGUCCGGAAACGGGCGCUAAUACCGCAUACGUCCUGAGGGAGAAAGUGGGGGAUCUUCGGACCUCACGCGAUCAGGGGAGCCUAGGUCGGAUUAGCUAGUUGGUGGGGUAAAGGCCUACCAAGGCGACGAUCCGUAACUGGUCUGAGAGGAUGAUCAGUCACACUGGAACUGAGACACGGUCCAGACUCCUACGGGAGGCAGCGGUGGGGCCUCUUGGGCGCUGGUCGCGUGCCUGCUCCCGCCCUGCCGCGUGUGUGCCGCAGGUCUUCGGAUUGUAAAGCACUUUAAGUUGGGAGGACGGGCCGUACGUUCCUACCUUGCUGUUUUGCCGUUCCCCGCCGCAUCCGCCCCGGCUCCCUUCGUG